AGUCGAGCGAGCGGAACUAACAGAUUUACUUCGGUAAUGACGUUAGGAAAGCGAGCGGCGGAUGGGUGAGUAACACGUGGGGAACCUGCCCCAUAGUCUGGGAUACCACCUGGAAACAGGUGCCAAUACCGGAUAAGAAAGCAGAUCGCAUGAUCAGCUUUUAAAAGGCGGCGUAAGCUGUCGCUAUGGGAUGGCCCCGCGGUGCAUUAGCUAGUUGGUAAGGUAAAGGCUUACCAAGGCGAUGAUGCAUAGCCGAGUUGAGAGACUGAUCGGCCACAUUGGGACUGAGACACGGCCCAAACUCCUACGGGAGGCAGCAGUAGGGAAUCUUCCACAAUGGACGCAAGUCUGAUGGAGCAACGCCGCGUGAGUGAAGAAGGUUUUCGGAUCGUAAAGCUCUGUUGUUGGUGAAGAAGGAUAGAGGUAGUAACUGGCCUUUAUUUGACGGUAAUCAACCAGAAAGUCACGGCUAACUACGUGCCAGCAGCCGCGGUAAUACGUAGGUGGCAAGCGUUGUCCGGAUUUAUUGGGCGUAAAGCGAGCGCAGGCGGAAGAAUAAGUCUGAUGUGAAAGCCCUCGGUUUAACCGAGGAACUGCAUCGGAAACUGUUUUUCUUGAGUGCAGAAGAGGAGAGUGGAACUCCAUGUGUAGCGGUGGAAUGCGUAGAUAUAUGGAAGAACACCAGUGGCGAAGGCGGCUCUCUGGUCUGCAACUGACGCUGAGGCUCGAAAGCAUGGGUAGUGAACAGGAUUAGAUACCCUGGU
Molecule: ribosomal RNA, 764 nt
Filed under: uncultured bacterium
Lineage: Bacteria
Description: bacterial SSU rRNA
Rfam family: Bacterial small subunit ribosomal RNA
Source: RNAcentral